AUCCAGCUGAAGAGUGCCAAACAAGACGAAACGCGCGUUCUCGAU
Molecule: non-coding RNA, 45 nt
Organism: Schistosoma mansoni
Lineage: Eukaryota; Metazoa; Platyhelminthes; Trematoda; Strigeidida; Schistosomatidae
Source: Rfam